GGGCGGUGAUGAUUCCCAAUCUUAUUUCACCGUCGACAGAAUGAGACGUGUUGAUAACCAUUCCUACACCGAAGCUCCUUCUGAUGCCC
This 89-nucleotide small nucleolar RNA is filed under the name Chlamydomonas reinhardtii. RNAcentral describes it as "CrCD15c snoRNA". The record is from RNAcentral. Lineage: Eukaryota; Viridiplantae; Chlorophyta; Chlorophyceae; Chlamydomonadales; Chlamydomonadaceae.